AUUGAACGCUGGCGGCAGGCUUAACACAUGCAAGUCGAGCGAGCGGCGGACGGGUGAGUAAUGCCUGGGAAUCUGCCUUAUGGAGGGGGAUAACUACGGGAAACGGUAGCUAAUACCGCAUACCAUCAGAUGUGCCCAGAUGGGAUUAGCUAGUAGGUGGGGUAAUGGCCUACCUAGCCGACGAUCCCUAGCUGGUCUGAGAGGAUGACCAGCCACACUGGAACUGAGACACGGUCCUGACUCCUACGUGAGGCAGCAGUGGGGAAUAUUGCACAAGGGGCGCAAGCCUGAUGCAGCCAUGCCGCGUGUAUGAAGAAGGCCUUCGGGUUGUAAAGCACUUUCAGCGAGGAGGCGUUACUCGCAGAAGAAGCACCGGCUAACUCCGUGCCAGCAGCCGCGGUAAUUC
Molecule: ribosomal RNA, 406 nt
Filed under: uncultured bacterium
Lineage: Bacteria
Description: partial 16S ribosomal RNA
Rfam family: Bacterial small subunit ribosomal RNA
Source: RNAcentral